GGGAGAGAUCGCAUAGAAUUUUAAAACAUUGAAACAGACGAGCAAUACCUUAUUUAAUUCUAAAUAUUUUGGAUAAACAUAAAUUUAACAGGUGACUGCAUUUUGUUUUUAUUGUCUAAGAACUUGACUGGUUCUCCAGAAACAGGUAAAAAUUAAAAUAUGUUGCAAUAAAAUGAAUUAGUUUCCAAGAGUUUUAGGCCCUUCUUAAAAUUUUGUUAAGCUAUAGUUGGCGCCUAUCAUUCCAUACCUCCUAUCAAUAUGUUUUGGACUUAUCCUUUCUGUCAUGUACAGGACGGUCAAAAUCAUCGAAGUUUUUCUUUUUGUAGGUGAAUCUGUUAUAUGUAUUACAUUGUAUUUAUUAUCAUUAUACUUUUAUAUGACUUUUUAGUAGGUCUUAUUCCAUUUGCUUUCUAUUAUCAUCUUCUUGUGGAUUUCUUUUCUCUUGUUCAACCUUAGAAGGAUAUUUCAAC
This 470-nucleotide unclassified non-coding RNA is filed under the name Hevea brasiliensis (rubber tree). Lineage: Eukaryota; Viridiplantae; Streptophyta; Magnoliopsida; Malpighiales; Euphorbiaceae. The record is from RNAcentral.